GGAGUAACAGCAGAUAAAAAAGACGUGAUACCUUUCGAAUCCCCUUCUCCGAAUUUUGGAAUCCAUCGCUACCAGUUCUUACUGUAUCCACAGAAAGGCAAAACUGUCAUGUUAAAAUCGAAGCUGGCAUUAACUCGACUAUUUCGUGUUGCUGAAUUUGAA
Long non-coding RNA from Octopus sinensis (East Asian common octopus), 162 nucleotides. RefSeq lists it as uncharacterized. NCBI's taxonomy places the organism in Eukaryota, Metazoa, Mollusca, Cephalopoda, Octopoda, Octopodidae. The record is from RefSeq and is a predicted model, not a curated record. The transcript is spliced from 2 exons.